AAACCGACACAGGUGAUCAGGUAGAGAAUACUAAGGCGAUCGAGAGAAUCAUGGUUAAGGAACUCGGCAAAAUGCCCCCGUAACUUCGGGAGAAGGGGGGCCCUGAGCGUGAUCUGCCCGUGCGGUGGGGAGCGUGUAGGGGUCGCAGAGACCAGGGGGAAGCGACUGUUUAUCAAAAACACAGGUCCGUGCGAAGUCGUAAGACGAGGUAUACGGACUGACUCCUGCCCGGUGCUGGAAGGUUAAGAGGAGUGGUUAGCCCCUUUUGGGGGCGAAGCUGCGAAUUUAAGCCCCAGUAAACGGCGGUGGUAACUAUAACCAUCCUAAGGUAGCGAAAUUCCUUGUCGGGUAAGUUCCGACCUGCACGAAUGGAGUAACGACUUCCCUACUGUCUCAACCAUGAACUCGGUGAAAUUGCAGUACGAGUAAAGAUGCUCGUUUCGCGCAGCAGGACGGAAAGACCCCGUGACCUUUACUAUAGUUUGGUAUUGGUGUUUGGGUUGGCUUGUGUAGGAUAGGUGGGAGACUGUGAAGCCGCUACGCUAGUGGUGGUGGAGUCGUUGUUGAAAUACCACUCUGGUCAAUCUGAGCGUCUAACUUCGGGCCAUGAUCUGGUUCAGGGACAGUGCCUGAUGGGUAGUUUAACUGGGGCGGUUGCCUCCUAAAGUGUAACGGAGGCGCCCAAAGGUUCCCUCAGCCUGGUUGGCAAUCAGGUGUUGAGUGUAAGUGCACAAGGGAGCUUGACUGUGAGAGUGGCGGCUCGAGCAGGUGCGAAAGCAGGGACUAGUGAUCCGGCAGUGGCGUGUGGAAGCGCUGUCGCUCAACGGAUAAAAGGUACCUCGGGGAUAACAGGCUGAUCUUGCCCAAGAGUCCAUAUCGACGGCAUGGUUUGGCACCUCGAUGUCGGCUCGUCGCAUCCUGGGGCUGGAGUCGGUCCCAAGGGUUGGGCUGUUCGCCCAUUAAAGCGGUACGCGAGCUGGGUUCAGAACGUCGUGAGACAGUUCGGUCCCUAUCCGCUGCGCGCGUUGGAAAUUUGAGAAAGGCUGUCCUUAGUACGAGAGGACCGGGACGGACGAACCUCUGGUAUGUCAGUUGUACCGCCAGGUGCAUGGCUGAUUGGCUACGUUCGGGAGGGAUAACCGCUGAAAGCAUCUAAGCGGGAAGC
This 1165-nucleotide ribosomal RNA is filed under the name human oral metagenome. RNAcentral's name for it is "bacterial LSU rRNA". It matches the Rfam family "Bacterial large subunit ribosomal RNA", at positions 1651 to 2793 of the family's 2925-position model. The record is from RNAcentral.